This 501-nucleotide ribosomal RNA is filed under the name uncultured bacterium. RNAcentral describes it as "bacterial SSU rRNA". It matches the Rfam family "Bacterial small subunit ribosomal RNA", at positions 30 to 518 of the family's 1533-position model. The record is from RNAcentral.
AUUGAACGCUGGCGGCAGGCCUAACACAUGCAAGUCAACGGUAACAGGAAGCAGCUUGCUGCUUUGCUGACGAGUGGCGGACGGGUGAGUAAUGUCUGGGAAACUGCCUGAUGAGGGGGGAUAACUACUGGAAACGGUAGCUAAUACCGCAUAACGUCGCAAGACCAAAGAGGGGGACCUUCGGGCCUCUUGCCAUCAGAUGUGCCCAGAUGGGAUUAGCUUGUUGGUGGGGUAACGGCUCACCAAGGCGACGAUCCCUAGCUGGUCUGAGAGGAUGACCCAGCCACACUGGAACUGAGACACGGUCCAGACUCCUACGGGAGGCAGCAGUGGGGAAUAUUGCACAAUGGGCGCAAGCCUGAUGCAGCCAUGCCGCGUGUAUGAAGAAGGCCUUCGGGUUGUAAAGUACUUUCAGCGGGGAGGAAGGUGUUGUGGUUAAUAACCACAGCAAUUGACGUUACCCGCAGAAGAAGCACCGGCUAACUCCGUGCCAGCCGCGGC